CCCAAGAGAUCGGGAUAACACCUAGGAAACAGAUGCUAAUACCGGAUAACAACAGAUGAUGCCUAUCAACUGUUUAAAAGAUGGUUCUGCUAUCACUCUUGGAUGGACCUGCGGUGCAUUAGCUAGUUGGUAGGGUAACGGCCUACCAAGGCGAUGAUGCAUAGCCGAGUUGAGAGACUGAUCGGCCACAUUGGGACUGAGACACGGCCCAAACUCCUAAGGGAGGCAGCAGCA
RNAcentral lists this ribosomal RNA (234 nucleotides) under uncultured Lactobacillus sp. RNAcentral's name for it is "partial 16S ribosomal RNA". It matches the Rfam family "Bacterial small subunit ribosomal RNA", at positions 129 to 355 of the family's 1533-position model. Lineage: Bacteria; Bacillati; Bacillota; Bacilli; Lactobacillales; Lactobacillaceae. The record is from RNAcentral.